GAUGAAGAACGCAGCGAAAUGCGAUAAGUAAUGUGAAUUGCAGAAUUCAGUGAAUCAUCGAAUCUUUGAACGCAUCUUGCGCUCCUUGGUAUUCUGAGGAGCAUGCCUGUUUGAGUGUCAUUAAAUUCUCAACUACACUGACUUUGAAUUGGUGUGGCUUGGAUUUGGGGGGAAAAUUGUUGUGGGCUUUUUGUAUAGUCUGCUCCCCUGAAAUUGAUUAGCGGUACCUUUGUGGAACUGUCUACAGGUGUGAUAAUUAUCUACAUCUUAGACAUCUGCUGGAAUGCUGCUUUCUAAACCUGACUUGUAUUGACAAUCUUGACCUCAAAUCAGGUAGGACUACCCGCUGAACUUAAGCAUAUCAAUAAGCGGAGGA
Molecule: unclassified non-coding RNA, 376 nt
Filed under: soil metagenome
Description: partial contains 5.8S ribosomal RNA, internal transcribed spacer 2, and large subunit ribosomal RNA
Rfam family: 5.8S ribosomal RNA (bases 1-120)
Source: RNAcentral